RNAcentral lists this ribosomal RNA (459 nucleotides) under uncultured Syntrophus sp. RNAcentral describes it as "bacterial SSU rRNA". It matches the Rfam family "Bacterial small subunit ribosomal RNA", at positions 924 to 1374 of the family's 1533-position model. The record is from RNAcentral. Lineage: Bacteria; Pseudomonadati; Thermodesulfobacteriota; Syntrophia; Syntrophales; Syntrophaceae.
GCACAAGCGGUGGAGCAUGUGGUUUAAUUCGACGCAACGCGAAGAACCUUACCUGGGCUUGACAUCCCGAGAAUCCCCUGGAAACAGGGGAGUGCCUUUCGGGGAACUCGGAGACAGGUGCUGCAUGGCUGUCGUCAGCUCGUGUCGUGAGAUGUUGGGUUAAGUCCCGCAACGAGCGCAACCCUUGUCUUUAAUUGCCAGCAUUCAGUUGGGCACUUUAAAGAGACUGCCGGUGUUAAGCCGGAGGAAGGUGGGGAUGACGUCAAGUCCUCAUGGCCUUUAUGCCCAGGGCUACACACGUGCUACAAUGGGUGGUACAAAGAGAUGCCAACUCGCGAGAGCGCGCCAAUCUCAGAAAGCCAUCCUCAGUUCGGAUUGGAGUCUGCAACUCGACUCCAUGAAGUUGGAAUCGCUAGUAAUCGCGGAUCAGCACGCCGCGGUCGAAUACGUUCCGGCCUU